CUUCCAUUUUUCUUUCUCCAGCAAAACCAGGGCUACAGUUUACAGAAGCGGCGACUCUGAAAUCGUCUCAACUUUAACCUUCUUCUAUCUACUAUUAGUCUACGACCCUGAUCCUACAUCGCCAUCAUCUCAAAGUGUUGCCGAUUUUGGUUGACAAGUUGCUGAUUUUUGUUGCCAAUCAAAUGAAUUCUACAGAUGUCCUUGGACCUUUGACCAUCUAUGAGGAAAAAUGAACAUCAAAGUGCAGCUGGGGGAGUUAACAGUUUAAGGGUGUGUUACCAGUACCACUCUAUGAAGUCUUUGUCAGACUCCAGUAGCCAACAGUUGAACAAUUUCCUUGUGCCUUUGUUUCUUAUUUGCCAAUAAGUUCUCGGCUCGUAAGUCUUGCAGAUUAGUUGAUCAGUGAUUUCAUUUUAGGUUUUGGAUUUCAUUCAUUUUCUAGUUCUACAGAGAGUAAAACUCUUGGAGGGUCUUUCAUCAUUCUUUGGUUCAUUAUAAUUAUUCUGCACAGAGAUUCUAAUUAAUAAUUUAUUCAAAAUAGUUUUAUGGUUGUA
This is a long non-coding RNA of Papaver somniferum (opium poppy), 554 nucleotides long. RefSeq lists it as uncharacterized. The transcript is spliced from 2 exons. NCBI's taxonomy places the organism in Eukaryota, Viridiplantae, Streptophyta, Magnoliopsida, Ranunculales, Papaveraceae. The record is from RefSeq and is a predicted model, not a curated record.